AGCGGGGGACAACAUUUGGAAACAGAUGCUAAUACCGCAUAACAACGUUGUUCGCAUGAACAACGCUUAAAAGAUGGCUUCUCGCUAUCACUUCUGGAUGGACCUGCGGUGCAUUAGCUUGUUGGUGGGGUAAUGGCCUACCAAGGCGAUGAUGCAUAGCCGAGUUGAGAGACUGAUCGGCCACAAUGGGACUGAGACACGGCCCAUACUCCUACGGGAGGCAGCAGUAGGGAAUCUUCCACAAUGGGCGCAAGCCUGAUGGAGCAACACCGCGUGAGUGAAGAAGGGUUUCGGCUCGUAAAGCUCUGUUGUUAAAGAAGAACACGUAUGAGAGUAACUGUUCAUACGUUGACGGUAUUUAACCAGAAAGUCACGGCUAACUACGUGCCAGCAGCCGCGGUAAUACGUAGGUGGCAAGCGUUAUCCGGAUUUAUUGGGCGUAAAGAGAGUGCAGGCGGUUUUCUAAGUCUGAUGUGAAAGCCUUCGGCUUAACCGGAGAAGUGCAUCGGAAACUGGAUAACUUGAGUGCAGAAGAGGGUAGUGGAACUCCAUGUGUAGCGGUGGAAUGCGUAGAUAUAUGGAAGAACACCAGUGGCGAAGGCGGCUACCUGGUCUGCAACUGACGCUGAGACUCGAAAGCAUGGGUAGCGAACAGGAUUAGAUACCCUGGUAGUCCAUGCCGUAAACGAUGAGUGCUAGGUGUUGGAGGGUUUCCGCCCUUCAGUGCCGGAGCUAACGCAUUAAGCACUCCGCCUGGGGAGUACGACCGCAAGGUUGAAACUCAAAGGAAUUGACGGGGGCCCGCACAAGCGGUGGAGCAUGUGGUUUAAUUCGAAGCUACGCGAAGAACCUUACCAGGUCUUGACAUCUUGCGCCAACCCUAGAGAUAGGGCGUUUCCUUCGGGAACGCAAUGACAGGUGGUGCAUGGUCGUCGUCAGCUCGUGUCGUGAGAUGUUGGGUUAAGUCCCGCAACGAGCGCAACCCUUGUUACUAGUUGCCAGCAUUAAGUUGGGCACUCUAGUGAGACUGCCGGUGACAAACCGGAGGAAGGUGGGGACGACGUCAGAUCAUCAUGCCCCUUAUGACCUGGGCUACACACGUGCUACAAUGGACGGUACAACGAGUCGCGAACUCGCGAGGGCAAGCAAAUCUCUUAAAACCGUUCUCAGUUCGGACUGCAGGCUGCAACUCGCCUGCACGAAGUCGGAAUCGCUAGUAAUCGCGGAUCAGCAUGCCGCGGUGAAUACGUUCCCGGGCCUUGUACA
This 1266-nucleotide ribosomal RNA is filed under the name Limosilactobacillus fermentum. RNAcentral's name for it is "bacterial SSU rRNA". It matches the Rfam family "Bacterial small subunit ribosomal RNA", at positions 135 to 1387 of the family's 1533-position model. The record is from RNAcentral. Lineage: Bacteria; Bacillati; Bacillota; Bacilli; Lactobacillales; Lactobacillaceae.